RNAcentral lists this signal recognition particle RNA (278 nucleotides) under Chloroflexota bacterium. RNAcentral's name for it is "Chloroflexi bacterium signal recognition particle sRNA large type". It matches the Rfam family "Bacterial large signal recognition particle RNA". Rfam says of the family: The signal recognition particle (SRP) is a universally conserved ribonucleoprotein involved in the co-translational targeting of proteins to membranes. Archaeal SRP consists of a 7S RNA and homologues of the eukaryotic SRP19 and SRP54 proteins. In most bacteria, the SRP consists of a 4.5S RNA and the Ffh protein (a homologue of the eukaryotic SRP54 protein). Lineage: Bacteria; Bacillati; Chloroflexota. The record is from RNAcentral.
UCGUGCUAGACGGGGAACUAGCGGUGCCUCGAUUCCUUUACAGGAUGACCCGAAAUCCGCUAUAGCGGGGUUGAAUCCCUUGCAGAGCAGCGGGCGUAUUGCACGGUGCGGAUCACGUGGCAUUGAAAGUCGGAUCCGACGCAGCAGGAGCCCGUGAACCCCGCCAGGACCGGAAGGUAGCAACGGUAAGCGGUCACUUUUGGGUGCCGUCGGGGCAUCUGGCUGGAGCAAGCGAAUUCGCGCACGGUGGGAUGCUCGCCGCGAAGUAAGGUGCACGA